Molecule: ribosomal RNA, 1225 nt
Filed under: Mycobacterium sp. DWMJ-1252A3
Lineage: Bacteria; Bacillati; Actinomycetota; Actinomycetes; Mycobacteriales; Mycobacteriaceae
Description: partial 16S ribosomal RNA
Rfam family: Bacterial small subunit ribosomal RNA
Source: RNAcentral
GGGGUACUCGAGUGGCGAACGGGUGAGUAACACGUGGGUGAUCUGCCCUGCACUUUGGGAUAAGCCUGGGAAACUGGGUCUAAUACCGAAUAGGACCGCGCUCUUCAUGGGGUGUGGUGGAAAGCUUUUGCGGUGUGGGAUGGGCCCGCGGCCUAUCAGCUUGUUGGUGGGGUAAUGGCCUACCAAGGCGACGACGGGUAGCCGGCCUGAGAGGGUGACCGGCCACACUGGGACUGAGAUACGGCCCAGACUCCUACGGGAGGCAGCAGUGGGGAAUAUUGCACAAUGGGCGCAAGCCUGAUGCAGCGACGCCGCGUGAGGGAUGACGGCCUUCGGGUUGUAAACCUCUUUCAAUAGGGACGAAGCGCAAGUGACGGUAUGUGUAGAAGAAGGACCGGCCAACUACGUGCCAGCAGCCGCGGUAAUACGUAGGGUCCGAGCGUUGUCCGGAAUUACUGGGCGUAAAGAGCUCGUAGGUGGUUUGUCGCGUUGUUCGUGAAAACUCACAGCUUAACUGUGGGCGUGCGGGCGAUACGGGCAGACUAGAGUACUGCAGGGGAGACUGGAAUUCCUGGUGUAGCGGUGGAAUGCGCAGAUAUCAGGAGGAACACCGGUGGCGAAGGCGGGUCUCUGGGCAGUAACUGACGCUGAGGAGCGAAAGCGUGGGGAGCGAAUCAGGAUUAGAUACCCUGGUAGUCCACGCCGUAAACGGUGGGUACUAGGUGUGGGUUUCCUUCCUUGGGAUCCGUGCCGUAGCUAACGCAUUAAGUACCCCGCCUGGGGAGUACGGCCGCAAGGCUAAAACUMAAAGGAAUUGACGGGGGCCCGCACAAGCGGCGGANCAUGUGGAUUAAUUCGAUGCAACGCGAAGAACCUUACCYGGGUUUGANAUGCACAGGACGCCAGUAGAGAUAUUGGUUCCCUUGUGGCCUGUGUGCAGGUGGUGCAUGGCUGUCGUCAGCUCGUGUCGUGAGAUGUUGGGUUAAGUCCCGCAACGAGCGCAACCCUUGUCUCAUGUUGCUUNCCAGCACGUUAUGGUGGGGACUCGUGAGAGACUGCCGGGGUCAACUCGGNNNNNNNNGGGUGANGUCAAGUCAUCAUGCCCNUNAUGUCCAGGUCUUCCCACNUGCUANNAUGGNNGGUACNAANGNNUGCGAUGCCNNNGGGNGGANCGAAUCNNUUCAAANCNNUNUUCANUUNGNAUCGGGGUCUGNANNNNGACCCC